CUCAGAUCACGUAAUUAUUUAAUAGUCGAACAGACUAAAAUUUCUAACUUCUUCACCAAAAAUUAAAAUUAAUUCAACAUCGAGGUCACAAACUUAAUUAUUAAUAAGAACUUGCUAAUUAAAUAAUGCUGUUAUCCCUAGAGUAACUUUUUAAUAAAACAUUUUUUAAAAUAAAAAUUUAUCUCUUCAACUUAAUUACCCCAAUCAAAAAUUCCUUCAAUCUCAAGCUUCUAGGGUCUUCUCGUCCCAGAAAUUUAUAAAAGCAUUUUUACUUUUAAUUUAAAUUCAAAAUUAUUAAAUAAAACUUUCUUCUUAGUUUUCACCUUUCAUACCAGAUUUCAAUUAAAAAC
Molecule: ribosomal RNA, 350 nt
Filed under: Acrogonyleptes spinifrons
Lineage: Eukaryota; Metazoa; Arthropoda; Arachnida; Opiliones; Gonyleptidae
Description: partial large subunit ribosomal RNA
Source: RNAcentral